This 636-nucleotide ribosomal RNA is filed under the name Leptolyngbya sp. 0612. RNAcentral describes it as "bacterial SSU rRNA". It matches the Rfam family "Bacterial small subunit ribosomal RNA", at positions 128 to 796 of the family's 1533-position model. The record is from RNAcentral. Lineage: Bacteria; Bacillati; Cyanobacteriota; Cyanophyceae; Leptolyngbyales; Leptolyngbyaceae.
GAGAUCCGGCGAGUUACGAUCAUGAGAAACGGUCGCUAAUACCCAAUAUGCCGAGAGGUGAAACUUAUAUGGCCAGAGGAUGAGCUCGCGUUCUGAUUAGCUAGUUGGAGUGGUAACGGCACACCAAGGCGACGAUCAGUAGCUGGUCUGAGAGGAUGAUCAGCCACACUGGGACUGAGACACGGCCCAGACUCCUACGGGAGGCAGCAGUGGGGAAUUUUCCGCAAUGGGCGACAGCCUGACGGAGCCAGACCGCGUGAGGGAAGAAGGCCUACUGGUUGUAAACCUCUUUUGAUAGGGAAGAAGACAGUGACGGUACCUAUCGAAUCAGCAUCGGCUAACUCCGUGCCAGCAGCCGCGGUAAUACGGAGGAUGCAAGCGUUAUCCGGAAUUAUUGGGCGUAAAGCGUCCGUAGGUGGUUAUUCAAGUCAGCUGUCAAAGGAUGGAGCUUAACUCCAUAUAGGCAGUUGAAACUGUGUAGCUAGAGUGCGAUAGGGGCUAGGGGAAUCCCCAGUGUAGCGGUGAAAUGCGUAGAUAUGGGAAAGAACAUCGGUGGCGAAAGCGCGUGCUGGGUCUGCACUGACACUGAGGGACGAAAGCUAGGGGAGCGAAAGGGAUUAGAUACCCCUGUGUUCC